AGAGACACCCAAGUAGCACGGGGCCCGAGAAAUCCCGUGUGAAUCUGGCGGGACCACCCGCUAAGCCUAAAUAUUCCCUGGUGACCGAUAGCGGAUAGUACCGUGAGGGAAUGGUGAAAAGUACCGCGGGAGCGGAGUGAAAUAGUACCUGAAACCGUGUGCCUACAAGCCGUGGGAGCGUCGCGCAAGGACUUGUCCUUGCGUCGUGACUGCGUGCCUUUUGAAGAAUGAGCCUGCGAGUUUGCGGUGUGUUGCGAGGUUAACCCGUGUGGGGAAGCCGUAGCGAAAGCGAGUCCGAACAGGGCGGUUUAGUAGCGCGCUCAAGACCCGAAGCGGAGUGAUCUAGCCAUGGGCAGGUUGAAGCGGAGGUAAGACUUCGUGGAGGACCGAACCCACCAGGGUUGAAAACCUGGGGGAUGACCUGUGGUUAGGGGUGAAAGGCCAAUCAAACUCCGUGAUAGCUGGUUCUCCCCGAAAUGCAUUUAGGUGCAGCGUCGUGUGUUUCUUGCCGGAGGUAGAGCACUGGAUAGGCGAUGGGCCCUACCGGGUUACUGACCUUAGCCAAACUCCGAAUGCCGGUAAGUGAGAGCGCGGCAGUGAGACUGUGGGGGAUAAGCUCCAUGGUCGAGAGGGAAACAGCCCAGAGCAUCGACUAAGGCCCCUAAGCGUACGCUAAGUGGGAAAGGAUGUGGAGUCGCAGAGACAACCAGGAGGUUGGCUUAGAAGCAGCCACCCUUGAAAGAGUGCGUAAUAGCUCACUGGUCAAGUGAUUCCGCGCCGACAAUGUAGCGGGGCUCAAGCGUACCGCCGAAGUCGUGUCAUUGCAGUACAUACCCCCAACGGGGACUGUGAUGGGUAGGGGAGCGUCGUGUGCCGGGUGAAGCAGCCGCGGAAGCGAGUUGUGGACGGUUCACGAGUGAGAAUGCAGGCAUGAGUAGCGAUACACACGUGAGAAACGUGUGCGCCGAUUGACUAAGGGUUCCUGGGUCAAGCUGAUCUGCCCAGGGUAAGUCGGGACCUAAGGCGAGGCCGACAGGCGUAGUCGAUGGACAACCGGUUGAUAUUCCGGUACCCGCUUUGAAACGCCCAGUAUCGAAUCCAUUAAUGCUAAGGCCGUGAAGCCGCCCUGGAGCCUUCGGGCAAAGGGGAGUGGUGGAGCCGCCGGCCCAAGGUGGUAGUAGGUAAGCGAUGGGGUGACGCAGGAAGGUAGUCCAGCCCGGGCGGUGGUUGUCCCGGGGUAAGGGUGUAGGCCGUGUGAUAGGCAAAUCCGUCACACAUAAGGCUGAGACCUGAUGCCGAGCCGAUUGUGGUGAAGUGGAUGAUCCUAUGCUGUCGAGAAAAGCCUCUAGCGAGUUUCAUGGCGGCCCGUACCCUAAACCGACUCAGGUGGUCAGGUAGAGAAUACCGAGGCGUUCGGGUGAACUAUGGUUAAGGAACUCGGCAAAAUGCCCCCGUAACUUCGGGAGAAGGGGGGCCAUCACCGGUGAUGAGUUUUACACUCUGAGCUGGGGGUGGCCGCAGAGACCAGCGAGAAGCGACUGUUUACUAAAAACACAGGUCCGUGCGAAGCCGUAAGGCGAUGUAUACGGACUGACGCCUGCCCGGUGCUGGAACGUUAAGGGGACCGGUUAGCUCCAUUUCGGUGGGGCGAAGCUGAGAACUUAAGCGCCAGUAAACGGCGGUGGUAACUAUAACCAUCCUAAGGUAGCGAAAUUCCUUGUCGGGUAAGUUCCGACCUGCACGAAUGGCGUAACGACUUCUCGACUGUCUCAACCAUAGGCCCGGUGAAAUUGCACUACGAGUAAAGAUGCUCGUUUCGCGCAGCAGGACGGAAAGACCCCGGGACCUUUACUACAGUUUGAUAUUGGUGUUCGGUUCGGCUUGUGUAGGAUAGGUGGGAGACUGUGAAGCUUGGACGCCAGUUCAGGUGGAGUCGUCGUUGAAAUACCACUCUGGUCGUGCUGGAUGUCUAACCUGGGUCCGUGAUCCGGAUCAGGGACAGUGUCUGAUGGGUAGUUUAACUGGGGCGGUUGCCUCCUAAAGAGUAACGGAGGCGCCCAAAGGUUCCCUCAGCCUGGUUGGCAAUCAGGUGUUGAGUGUAAGUGCACAAGGGAGCUUGACUGUGAGACCGACGGGUCGAGCAGGGACGAAAGUCGGGACUAGUGAUCCGGCGGUGGCUUGUGGAAGCGCCGUCGCUCAACGGAUAAAAGGUACCCCGGGGAUAACAGGCUGAUCUUCCCCAAGAGUCCAUAUCGACGGGAUGGUUUGGCACCUCGAUGUCGGCUCGUCGCAUCCUGGGGCUGGAGUCGGUCCCAAGGGUUGGGCUGUUCGCCCAUUAAAGCGGUACGCGAGCUGGGUUUAGAACGUCGUGAGACAGUUCGGUCCCUAUCCGCUGUGCGCGUAGGAAUAUUGAGAAGGGCUGUCCCUAGUACGAGAGGACCGGGACGGACGAACCUCUGGUGUGCCAGUUGUUCUGCCAAGGGCAUGGCUGGUUGGCUACGUUCGGGAGGGAUAACCGCUGAAAGCAUCUAAGCGGGAAGCCUGCUUCGAGAUGAGUAUUCCCACCUCCUUGAGAGGGUAAGGCUCCCAGUAGACGACUGGGUUGAUAGGCCGGAUAUGGAAGCCCAGUAAUGGGUGGAGUUGACCGGUACUAAUAGGCCGAGGGCUUGUCCUC
RNAcentral lists this ribosomal RNA (2674 nucleotides) under Streptomyces ficellus. RNAcentral describes it as "partial 23S ribosomal RNA". It matches the Rfam family "Bacterial large subunit ribosomal RNA", at positions 400 to 2925 of the family's 2925-position model. Lineage: Bacteria; Bacillati; Actinomycetota; Actinomycetes; Kitasatosporales; Streptomycetaceae. The record is from RNAcentral.